CUCAGAGCAAAGAUCCUUUGGCUCAGAGUGCUGGCGUAACUCGGCGAGUCGGGCAGCAUCUCUGGAGAACACGGACUGGUGACGUUUCCCGUUGGGAUCCUUCUACAGAUUUCAGGGAAUUUGAAGACUUCUGUUUGAAAUUGUUCCUGUUCUCUCUCUUGCCCUCGAAGCUGAACUGUUCAAAUCCAAAGAUGAAUUGCCUUAUGGUCCUGGCAGCUGGUCUCAUUCUCAGUGCCUCUCUGGGUAACUGUUUGCAGUGUUACUCCUGCACAACAUCAGUAAACAGAUGUGUGGAUACUGCUAUUACUUGCCCUCAGGAUAUCGAGCAAUGCUACCUUGGGGUUGGGGAAUUUGGUAGUACUACCUUUUACCAAGCUGGAUGUACUGACCCUGGUUUUUGUAAUAUCCAGCAGAGUGACGGAGAUAUCUCAGUCAAUAUCCAAUGUUGUAAUACUGACCUCUGCAACGCGAGUGACCAAGUUAAAUGAUCUCUUCUGCUGUUCCCUGCUCUGGUCUCAGUCUGGUUUACAAUCUUUAUGUGAAGCAAGUGCAUAAUAAUAAUGCAUAGUGCAAUCGUCUGGGUGCUUUUUCUCUGAUGAUCAGAGAUAACGAGACUUAACACUUGAUUUCCAAGAGAUGAGCAACUUAAUCUAACAGAUGUUCAAAUCUUUUUCUUUUCAAAAUCAGUAACCCUCAUCCCGGUUCAGGAUUAGUUCAUCGAUGGUGGUUAGUUCUACGGAAUUAAUUCUGGAAUUCCUCAAUCUUUCAAUUUACUUUUUGGUUUGUUAUUGAUUUGCAUUAUAUUUUGGAGCUAGUUAUAUACGGCUUCAUUAACUCCAACAGAAGGCUGUGGAGGCCAAGUGAAUUGAUAUUUUUACAGCAGUGAUAGAUAGAUUCUUGAUUAGGACAGGUGUCGGGGGUUAUAUGGAGAAGGCUGGAGAAUGGGGUUAGGAGGGAGAGAUAGAUCGGCCAUGAUUGAAUGGCGGAGUAGACUUGAUGGGCCGAAUGGCCUAGUUCUGCUCCUAUCACCCAAUGCAUGACCUUAUAACACUGUGUUUAUCUCAGGAGGCUAGACAAGCAUGUUAUGAUGGCAGCGCAUGGACAACCUCCUUUAAGUUGACGAAGGCAAAGCUAAUACUUUCAAGAGAGAGCUACAUAGGGCUCCUAAAGAUAGUCAGACUAUAUGGGGAGCAGGCAGGAACGGGAUACUGAUUGGGGAUGAUCAGCCAUGAUCAUAGUGAUUGGCGGUGCUGGCUCGAAGGGCCGAAUGGCCUACUCCUGCACUUAUUGUCUAUUGUCCAAUACACCAUGCUAGAUAUUUGCAAUCCUUUAACAACUUGUAUAAUAAUAAUAAUAAUAAUAAUAAUAAUCAUAUAACUUGGAGCUUGUACCAUUACUCUGUUUAUCUGUUGCCGCAUCUCAAUAAAGUACUGAUUUUCAAAAAAAAA
Molecule: long non-coding RNA, 1448 nt
Organism: Leucoraja erinaceus (little skate)
Lineage: Eukaryota; Metazoa; Chordata; Chondrichthyes; Rajiformes; Rajidae
Exons: 3
Source: RefSeq, a predicted model, not a curated record